Molecule: long non-coding RNA, 392 nt
Organism: Aethalodelphis obliquidens (Pacific white-sided dolphin)
Lineage: Eukaryota; Metazoa; Chordata; Mammalia; Artiodactyla; Delphinidae
Exons: 2
Source: RefSeq, a predicted model, not a curated record
UUCUCGGACACUCACUGGAAUAAGGCUGUGCCCUGGAGCCAGAGGCCCGAAUCCCCCCAACCCAGAGCUGCAAGAUGCUCCCAGACCACGGGGGGAGGAAACAUGUGCUCGAUUAAAACCUGGAUGUGGCACCCCUCCGGGAAGGAAGUCCCUGGGCAUUCCUGGCCUCAGGAGUUGAACCUCAGUGGUUCAAUGAUGGCAUAAGGACCUAGAAGCUUUCUGCCUCCUGCUCUGCACAUUGGCUUCAAUCCAAGGGUAGCUACCCUCUUGGUGGCAAGGUGGCUGCCAGCAACACCUGGAGCAUCCUGCAUCCUCACUCUUCCUGAGCAAGAGAAAGAGGCUGUGUCCCUAAACCAGACAGUAAAGGCCUUCCCUUCAGUCUGAUUGGGCAA